UACGAGUGCCUCAAGCGUUAUCCGGAAUCAUUGGGCGUAAAGGGUGUGUAGGUGGUCUUGUUAGUCUUUUGUUAAAUUCUUCGGCUUAACCGGGGGCAUGCAAAGGAAACGGCAAGACUCGAGGAUGCGAGGGGUCUGCGGAACUCAUAGUGUAGCGGUGAAAUGCGUUGAUAUUAUGGGGAACACCAAAAGCGAAGGCAGCAGACUGGAGCAUUCCUGACACUGAAACACGAAAGCGUGGGUAGCGAAUGGG
This 253-nucleotide ribosomal RNA is filed under the name uncultured bacterium. RNAcentral describes it as "partial 16S ribosomal RNA". It matches the Rfam family "Bacterial small subunit ribosomal RNA", at positions 524 to 776 of the family's 1533-position model. The record is from RNAcentral.